GACGGAGGGCGCAAGCGUUGUUCGGAAUUACUGGGCGUAAAGCGCGCGCAGGCGGGCAGGUAAGUCUGGAGUGAAAUUCCGGGGCUCAACUCCGGAGCUGCUUUGGAUACUGUCUUUCUAGGGACCGGUAGAGGCCGGUGGAAUUCCCGGUGUAGCGGUGGAAUGCGUAGAGAUCGGGAAGAACACCCGUGGCGAAGGCGGCUCACUGGCCCGGUACUGACGCUGAGGUGCGAAAGCGUGGGGAGCAAACAGG
RNAcentral lists this ribosomal RNA (253 nucleotides) under uncultured bacterium. Its description in RNAcentral is "partial 16S ribosomal RNA". It matches the Rfam family "Bacterial small subunit ribosomal RNA", at positions 524 to 776 of the family's 1533-position model. The record is from RNAcentral.